This is a long non-coding RNA of Cyprinus carpio (common carp), 899 nucleotides long. RefSeq lists it as uncharacterized. NCBI's taxonomy places the organism in Eukaryota, Metazoa, Chordata, Actinopteri, Cypriniformes, Cyprinidae. The record is from RefSeq and is a predicted model, not a curated record.
UCGUGCCUCAGUUGGUAAAAAAAAAAAAAAAACACCUUAGCCAACCAGCAUCGAGUGUUCACUUUCAGCGCUGAUGAGUGUUGAAAAGAAACCUCCUAGAGGAGGCAAGCCUCCCUUCUGGCAUCAACCAAUCAUCAUAGAGACGUAAAUUACGUGAUAUUAGUUUGAACGUCUCGCGCUGCACUGACAAGGCACUAAUUACCUAUGAUGAGCAGCGGUAUUGAAUAUUUGAUCGCCAACAGAUUUACCAAGCUGUCAUUCAAACAGUAUAUAUACAUACAAAUUAAAAAACGGGAAAACACGUCCAAGCUGGAUAUAGAAUACAGCAGUCGGCUUAACAGGCAGCUCUCUUUAAACAGACUUUUAAGAAGGGAUGGAUGUUUGCUUUAAGUGACAGGCCAGCUUGGAAGUCAAUUGACCCUUCGCAAAGACCCACCCCCACUUCAUUACUGUUGCUACAUCCCACAAGCCAUGAUGCUCUCACGCAGUGAAAAAUACAUCACAGAGCAAAGAGGAAACAGACAAGCACCGACAUUCAAGACAGAGCUGAUUACUUUAGAAUGAAGGAAGUUCUGCGCUGACAUUGUGGAAAAAGCUGUAGUAAGAGCCAGAUUGCUGGAGAAGCGAGAUUGGUGAACAGAGGAAGUAAUAAUAGCGUGUGUCCUGACUGAUAGGGUACUGGACCCUCUUGUAGUUUCAGCAGUGACACGGUGAAACCGUAUGACAGCUUCAUUGCCUGUCCUGAGAACAAAGAAGUAUUUUAGACCCAAGAAUGCUUUGUUGUUCACUCUGAACCCCCUUUUAAGCAAACAUUCUUAUCUCAGAUCUUGAUAAGAAGGCAAGGCCGCCACCAACUUCCCUCUUCUGACAUCACAGUUUGUAUGGCCGACUGUCCAGCA